GAUGAACGCUGGCGGCGUGCCUAAUACAUGCAAGUCGAGCGAACAGACGAGGAGCUUGCUCCUCUGACGUUAGCGGCGGACGGGUGAGUAACACGUGGAUAACCUACCUAUAAGACUGGGAUAACUUCGGGAAACCGGAGCUAAUACCGGAUAAUAUAUUGAACCGCAUGGUUCAAUAGUGAAAGACGGUUUUGCUGUCACUUAUAGAUGGAUCCGCGCCGCAUUAGCUAGUUGGUAAGGUAACGGCUUACCAAGGCAACGAUGCGUAGCCGACCUGAGAGGGUGAUCGGCCACACUGGAACUGAGACACGGUCCAGACUCCUACGGGAGGCAGCAGUAGGGAAUCUUCCGCAAAGGGCGAAAGCUUGACGGAGCAACGCCGCGUGAGUGAUGAAGGUCUUCGGAUCGUAAAACUCUGUUAUUAGGGAAGAACAAAUGUGUAAGUAACUAUGCACGUCUUGACGGUACCUAAUCAGAAAGCCACAGCUAACUACGUG
Molecule: ribosomal RNA, 497 nt
Filed under: uncultured bacterium
Lineage: Bacteria
Description: partial 16S ribosomal RNA
Rfam family: Bacterial small subunit ribosomal RNA
Source: RNAcentral